Candidatus Schekmanbacteria bacterium GWA2_38_11 is the source of this 84-nucleotide non-coding RNA. Lineage: Bacteria; Candidatus Schekmaniibacteriota. The record is from Rfam.
UCCGAAAAUGGCAAACCCUGUGAGAGCAGGGGGCGCAAAACCAACGGAUCCUGACAAUGGUUCAGGAUGGCCGGGUUGCCGAAG